GACGGAGGGUGCAAACGUUGUUCGGAGUUACUGGGCGUAAAGCGUGUGUAGGCGGCCACGUAAGUCGGAUGUGAAAGCCCCGGGCUCAACUCGGGAAGUGCACUCGAUACUGCGUGGCUUGAGUACUGGAGAGGUUGGUGGAAUUCUCGGUGUAGAGGUGAAAUUCGUAGAUAUCGAGAGGAACACCGGUGGCGAAGGCGGCCAACUGGACAGAUACUGACGCUGAGACACGAAAGCGUGGGGAGCAAACAGG
Molecule: ribosomal RNA, 253 nt
Filed under: uncultured bacterium
Lineage: Bacteria
Description: partial 16S ribosomal RNA
Rfam family: Bacterial small subunit ribosomal RNA
Source: RNAcentral